AGGACGAACGCUGGCGGCGUGCUUAACACAUGCAAGUCGAACGGUGAAGCCUUUCGGGGUGGAUCAGUGGCGAACGGGUGAGUAACACGUGGGCAAUCUGCCCUGCAUUCUGGGACAAGCCUUGGAAACGAGGUCUAAUACCGGAUACGACGCAUCCCCGCAUGGGGUGUGCGUGGAAAGCUCCGGCGAUGCAGGAUGAGCCCGCGGCCUAUCAGCUUGUUGGUGGGUGAUGGCCUACCAAGGCGACGACGGGUA
Molecule: ribosomal RNA, 255 nt
Filed under: uncultured bacterium
Lineage: Bacteria
Description: partial small subunit ribosomal RNA
Rfam family: Bacterial small subunit ribosomal RNA
Source: RNAcentral